CCUACGGGAGGCAGCAGUAGGGGAAUCUUGCGCAAUGGGCGAAAGCCUGACGCAGCCAUGCCGCGUGAAUGAUGAAGGUCUUAGGAUUGUAAAAUUCUUUUCACCGGGGAAGAUAAUGACGGUACCCGGAGAAGAAGCCCCGGCUAACUUCGUGCCAGCAGCCGCGGUAAUACGAAGGGGGGCUAGCGUUGCUCGGAAUUACUGGGCGUAAAGGGCGCGUAGGCGGAUAGUUUAGUCAGAGGUGAAAGCCCAGGGCUCAACCUUGGAACUGCCUUUGAUACUGGCUAUCUUGAGUUCGGGAGAGGUGAGUGGAAUGCCGAGUGUAGAGGUGAAAUUCGUAGAUAUUCGGCGGAACACCAGUGGCGAAGGCGACUCACUGGCCCGAUACUGACGCUGAGGCGCGAAAGCGUGGGGAGCAAACAGGAUUAGAUACCCUGGUAGUCCACGCUGUAAACGAUGAGUGCUAGUUGUCGGCAUGCAUGCAUGUCGGUGACGCGAGCUACGACAUAAGACGACGUCCGCCGUCGGGGUAGGUACGGUCGGCGAAGUAAGUUAAACGUUAAAGGUUAAAGUUAGUUACGGUUCGUGAGACGNGCCGACGGACGACGACGAGGGAGGAGG
Molecule: ribosomal RNA, 621 nt
Filed under: uncultured bacterium
Lineage: Bacteria
Description: bacterial SSU rRNA
Rfam family: Bacterial small subunit ribosomal RNA (bases 1-523)
Source: RNAcentral